UGGCGGACGGGUGAGUAACGCGUGGAAAACCUGCCGUAUACUGGGGGAUAACACUUAGAAAUAGGUGCUAAUACCGCAUAAGCGCACAGCUUCGCAUGAAGCGGUGUGAAAAACUCUGGUGGUAUACGAUGGUUCCGCGUCUGAUUAGCUAGUUGGUGGGGUAAUGGCCUACCAAGGCAACGAUCAGUAGCCAGCCUGAGAGGGUGAACGGCCACAUUGGGACUGAGACACGGCCCAAACUCCUACGGAAGGCAGCAG
This 258-nucleotide ribosomal RNA is filed under the name uncultured bacterium. RNAcentral's name for it is "partial 16S ribosomal RNA". It matches the Rfam family "Bacterial small subunit ribosomal RNA", at positions 96 to 354 of the family's 1533-position model. The record is from RNAcentral.